GCUUUCUUAGCUAAGAUGUAGAGCUUGUGGGUUUUAACCACGUGGCCGUGGGUUCGAUCCCCAAAGACGGUG
This is a transfer RNA of Ipomoea nil (Japanese morning glory), 72 nucleotides long. It matches the Rfam family "tRNA". Rfam says of the family: Transfer RNA (tRNA) molecules are approximately 80 nucleotides in length. Their secondary structure includes four short double-helical elements and three loops (D, anti-codon, and T loops). Lineage: Eukaryota; Viridiplantae; Streptophyta; Magnoliopsida; Solanales; Convolvulaceae. The record is from Rfam.